RNAcentral lists this ribosomal RNA (1440 nucleotides) under uncultured organism. RNAcentral describes it as "16S ribosomal RNA". It matches the Rfam family "Bacterial small subunit ribosomal RNA". The record is from RNAcentral.
CAGGCUUAACACAUGCAAGUCGAGGGGCAGCAUGGUCUUAGCUUGCUAAGGCCGAUGGCGACCGGCGCACGGGUGAGUAACACGUAUCCAACCUGCCGUCUACUCUUGGACAGCCUUCUGAAAGGAAGAUUAAUACAAGAUGGCAUCAUGAGUCCGCAUGUUCACAUGAUUAAAGGUAUUCCGGUAGACGAUGGGGAUGCGUUCCAUUAGAUAGUAGGCGGGGUAACGGCCCACCUAGUCUUCGAUGGAUAGGGGUUCUGAGAGGAAGGUCCCCCACAUUGGAACUGAGACACGGUCCAAACUCCUACGGGAGGCAGCAGUGAGGAAUAUUGGUCAAUGGGCGAGAGCCUGAACCAGCCAAGUAGCGUGAAGGAUGACUGCCCUAUGGGUUGUAAACUUCUUUUAUAAAGGAAUAAAGUCGGGUAUGGAUACCCGUUUGCAUGUACUUUAUGAAUAAGGAUCGGCUAACUCCGUGCCAGCAGCCGCGGUAAUACGGAGGAUCCGAGCGUUAUCCGGAUUUAUUGGGUUUAAAGGGAGCGUAGAUGGAUGUUUAAGUCAGUUGUGAAAGUUUGCGGCUCAACCGUAAAAUUGCAGUUGAUACUGGAUAUCUUGAGUGCAGUUGAGGCAGGCGGAAUUCGUGGUGUAGCGGUGAAAUGCUUAGAUAUCACGAAGAACUCCGAUUGCGAAGGCAGCCUGCUAAGCUGCAACUGACAUUGAGGCUCGAAAGUGUGGGUAUCAAACAGGAUUAGAUACCCUGGUAGUCCACACGGUAAACGAUGAAUACUCGCUGUUUGCGAUAUACUGCAAGCGGCCAAGCGAAAGCGUUAAGUAUUCCACCUGGGGAGUACGCCGGCAACGGUGAAACUCAAAGGAAUUGACGGGGGCCCGCACAAGCGGAGGAACAUGUGGUUUAAUUCGAUGAUACGCGAGGAACCUUACCCGGGCUUAAAUUGCAGAUGAAUUACGGUGAAAGCCGUAAGCCGCAAGGCAUCUGUGAAGGUGCUGCAUGGUUGUCGUCAGCUCGUGCCGUGAGGUGUCGGCUUAAGUGUCAUAACGAGCGCAACCCUUGUUGUCAGUUACUAACAGGUUCCGCUGAGGACUCUGACAAGACUGCCAUCGUAAGAUGUGAGGAAGGUGGGGAUGACGUCAAAUCAGCACGGCCCUUACGUCCGGGGCUACACACGUGUUACAAUGGGGGGUACAGAGGGCCGCUACCACGCGAGUGGAUGCCAAUCCCCAAAACCUCUCUCAGUUCGGACUGGAGUCUGCAACCCGACUCCACGAAGCUGGAUUCGCUAGUAAUCGCGCAUCAGCCACGGCGCGGUGAAUACGUUCCCGGGCCUUGUACACACCGCCCGUCAAGCCAUGGGAGCCGGGGGUACCUGAAGUACGUAACCGCAAGGAUCGUCCUAGGGUAAAACUGGUGACUGGGGCUAAGUC